CAGGUGGAAGGUGGUGUGAAGCUAGCCUGGCCCUCAGUGUAUUAGAUCCUUUUUGUGGUUGGUGCUCCAUGGUAGGCUUUAAACGAACCAAGAAAGAAGGUGUCACUAUUUAGUAGGGUCACUAAAUUGUGGGUUAUGUGUUGAGGGGGUUGAGAAAUCAAUUCUGCCUGUAUUGAGAAAUUGCUAUGGGGCGAAGGAAAUUUGAGAUGUAUUUGUCCUAGAAAUGAUUGGGCAACGUUGAUAGAAGGGCCUAAUUUUGUUGAAGAAUAAGAAUCUUGAUUGUUCA
RNAcentral lists this unclassified non-coding RNA (286 nucleotides) under Hevea brasiliensis (rubber tree). Lineage: Eukaryota; Viridiplantae; Streptophyta; Magnoliopsida; Malpighiales; Euphorbiaceae. The record is from RNAcentral.